AUUGAACGCUGGCGGCAGGCUUAACACAUGCAAGUCGAGCGGAGUGAUGGUGCUUGCACUAUCACUUAGCGGCGGACGGGUGAGUAAUGCUUAGGAAUCUGCCUAUUAGUGGGGGACAACAUCUCGAAAGGGAUGCUAAUACCGCAUACGUCCUACGGGAGAAAGCAGGGGAUCACUUGUGACCUUGCGCUAAUAGAUGAGCCUAAGUCGGAUUAGCUGGUUGGUGGGGUAAAGGCCUACCAAGGCGAUGAUCUGUAGCGGGUCUGAGAGGAUGAUCGGCCACACUGGGACUGGGACACGGGCCAGACUCCUACGGGAGGCAGCAGUGGGGAAGAUUGGACAAUGGGGGGAACCCUGAUCCAGCCAUGCCGCGUGUGUGAAGAAGGCCUUAUGGUUGUAAAGCACUUUAAGCGAGGAGGAGGCUCUUUUGGUUAAUACCCAAGAUGAGUGGACGUUACUCGCAGAAUAAGCACCGGCUAACUCUGUGCCAGCCGCCGCUGUAA
Molecule: ribosomal RNA, 503 nt
Filed under: uncultured bacterium
Lineage: Bacteria
Description: partial 16S ribosomal RNA
Rfam family: Bacterial small subunit ribosomal RNA
Source: RNAcentral